GAUCCUGACUCAGGAUGAACGCUAGCUACAGGCUUAACACAUGCAAGUCGAGGGGCAGCAUGGUCUUAGCUUGCUAAGGCCGAUGGCGACCGGCGCACGGGUGAGUAACACGUAUCCAACCUGCCGUCUACUCUUGGACAGCCUUCUGAAAGGAAGAUUAAUACAAGAUGGCAUCAUGAGUUCACAUGUUCACAUGAUUAAAGGUAUUCCGGUAGACGAUGGGGA
RNAcentral lists this ribosomal RNA (225 nucleotides) under uncultured bacterium. Its description in RNAcentral is "partial 16S ribosomal RNA". It matches the Rfam family "Bacterial small subunit ribosomal RNA", at positions 15 to 231 of the family's 1533-position model. The record is from RNAcentral.